CCUACGGGGGGCAGCAGUGGGGAAUAUUGGGCAAUGGGCGCAAGCCUGACCCAGCAACGCCGCGUGAAGGAAGAAGGCUUUCGGGUUGUAAACUUCUUUUGUCAGGGACGAAGCAAGUGACGGUACCUGACGAAUAAGCCACGGCUAACUACGUGCCAGCAGCCGCGGUAAUACGUAGGUGGCAAGCGUUAUCCGGAUUUAUUGGGUUUAAAGGGUGCGUAGGCGGACAGUCAAGUCAGCGGUAAAAAUGCGGUGCUCAACGCCGUACAGCCGUUGAAACUGGCAGUCUUGAGUGGGCGAGAGGUAGGCGGAAUGCGUGGUGUAGCGGUGAAAUGCAUAGAUAUCACGCAGAACUCCGAUUGCGAAGGCAGCAUACCGGCGCCCGACUGACGCUGAGGCACGAAAGCGUGGGUAGCGAACAGGAUUAGAUACCCCAGUAGUC
Molecule: ribosomal RNA, 442 nt
Filed under: uncultured bacterium
Lineage: Bacteria
Description: partial 16S ribosomal RNA
Rfam family: Bacterial small subunit ribosomal RNA
Source: RNAcentral